GAAGUAUUAGCGACUAGUUUGUUGACGUUGUAACCGAAUUCAAAACGUGCACAUAAGCAAAUUGGCAUUCACGUAUAUAGUUACACUUGAUUUGCGACUGAAUUAAUUAUGUCGUGGCUUUUUCAAUCAGAUUCUGCUGUAUUAGCGCAACUCACUUACAAAAGAGGGCGUUUUAUCCAUUGUUGGCCAAAUAUAGACAAUGGGAAAAUCCUCUUGUUCAAGUCUCCGGUAUGCUAGCCGCUCUAUUCUGAGCCCUCUUUGUGGUCCAACCUUUUUAGCCACUUUCGUUUUAAUGUAAUCAAAUGAACGUGCCUCGCAUUAUUCUGUUGCCAAUAAAUUUCACCAGGCAAAUAGAUGAGGAUUGGAUACCAGUCCCCAAUGGUUGUUGGAUACUACUUUUCGGGGGCCGGGGCUUUCCACCCACGGGAUUUUAUCGUCCUGCAUUGCGAAUUGGUAGUGAGAAUAAUAGUAAUACAUACUAGUUCGGACCGGUAAAAUAACUAUCUUUGUUUUGAUUAAUAAAAUUAAGUUCCAUUAAAAAUAUUCAAAGAAAAUGUAAAAAGUCAUAUAUUCCAAUAUCAACAAUAAUGCGAAUACAAUUGCAAUUUUUUUAUAAACAACGGGUUCCUAAUU
Drosophila yakuba is the source of this 633-nucleotide long non-coding RNA. RefSeq lists it as uncharacterized. The transcript is spliced from 2 exons. The record is from RefSeq and is a predicted model, not a curated record. Lineage: Eukaryota; Metazoa; Arthropoda; Insecta; Diptera; Drosophilidae.